This 229-nucleotide long non-coding RNA is filed under the name Mytilus galloprovincialis (Mediterranean mussel). The record is from RNAcentral. Lineage: Eukaryota; Metazoa; Mollusca; Bivalvia; Mytilida; Mytilidae.
ACCAUGUCCAAACAUGUUCAAAAAGGAACACAUACACAUAACCAGUAUUUAACUUGGACGUUAAAAUUGAGUACAUUGACUUGUUUGAUAUUAACAAUAUUAAAACACGAUUUUUGUUAAUCAGACGAACCGAGAAGCGACCAUACUAUUAGUUCACCAAGAAUACAAGCUAAACAUAUCGCAGCUUCAUAUACGUGAAUAAUUAUGUUUAUCUAUGAGAUACUACGAA